Molecule: ribosomal RNA, 253 nt
Filed under: uncultured bacterium
Lineage: Bacteria
Description: partial 16S ribosomal RNA
Rfam family: Bacterial small subunit ribosomal RNA
Source: RNAcentral
UACGGGGGGGGCAAGCGUUGUUCGGAAUUACUGGGCGUAAAGGGCUCGUAGGCGGCCAACUAAGUCAGACGUGAAAUCCCUCGGCUUAACCGGGGAACUGCGUCUGAUACUGGAUGGCUCGAGUUUGGGAGAGGGAUGCGGAAUUCCAGGUGUAGCGGUGAAAUGCGUAGAUAUCUGGAGGAACACCGGUGGCGAAGGCGGCAUCCUGGACCGGCAUUGACGCUGAGGCGCGAAAGCGUGGGGAGCGAACAGG